Molecule: ribosomal RNA, 1385 nt
Filed under: Latilactobacillus sakei
Lineage: Bacteria; Bacillati; Bacillota; Bacilli; Lactobacillales; Lactobacillaceae
Description: Lactobacillus sakei 16S ribosomal RNA
Rfam family: Bacterial small subunit ribosomal RNA
Source: RNAcentral
GAGUGGCGGACGGGUGAGUAACACGUGGGUAACCUGCCCUAAAGUGGGGGAUAACAUUUGGAAACAGAUGCUAAUACCGCAUAAAACCUAACACCGCAUGGUGUAGGGUUGAAAGAUGGUUUCGGCUAUCACUUUAGGAUGGACCCGCGGUGCAUUAGUUAGUUGGUGAGGUAAAGGCUCACCAAGACCGUGAUGCAUAGCCGACCUGAGAGGGUAAUCGGCCACACUGGGACUGAGACACGGCCCAGACUCCUACGGGAGGCAGCAGUAGGGAAUCUUCCACAAUGGACGAAAGUCUGAUGGAGCAACGCCGCGUGAGUGAAGAAGGUUUUCGGAUCGUAAAACUCUGUUGUUGGAGAAGAAUGUAUCUGAUAGUAACUGAUCAGGUAGUGACGGUAUCCAACCAGAAAGCCACGGCUAACUACGUGCCAGCAGCCGCGGUAAUACGUAGGUGGCAAGCGUUGUCCGGAUUUAUUGGGCGUAAAGCGAGCGCAGGCGGUUUCUUAAGUCUGAUGUGAAAGCCUUCGGCUCAACCGAAGAAGUGCAUCGGAAACUGGGAAACUUGAGUGCAGAAGAGGACAGUGGAACUCCAUGUGUAGCGGUGAAAUGCGUAGAUAUAUGGAAGAACACCAGUGGCGAAGGCGGCUGUCUGGUCUGUAACUGACGCUGAGGCUCGAAAGCAUGGGUAGCAAACAGGAUUAGAUACCCUGGUAGUCCAUGCCGUAAACGAUGAGUGCUAGGUGUUGGAGGGUUUCCGCCCUUCAGUGCCGCAGCUAACGCAUUAAGCACUCCGCCUGGGGAAGUACGACCGCAAGGUUGAAACUCAAAGGAAUUGACGGGGGCCCGCACAAGCGGUGGAGCAUGUGGUUUAAUUCGAAGCAACGCGAAGAACCUUACCAGGUCUUGACAUCCUUUGACCACUCUAGAGAUAGAGCUUUCCCUUCGGGGACAAAGUGACAGGUGGUGCAUGGUUGUCGUCAGCUCGUGUCGUGAGAUGUUGGGUUAAGUCCCGCAACGAGCGCAACCCUUAUUACUAGUUGCCAGCAUUUAGUUGGGCACUCUAGUGAGACUGCCGGUGACAAACCGGAGGAAGGUGGGGACGACGUCAAAUCAUCAUGCCCCUUAUGACCUGGGCUACACACGUGCUACAAUGGAUGGUACAACGAGUUGCGAGACCGCGAGGUUUAGCUAAUCUCUUAAAACCAUUCUCAGUUCGGAUUGUAGGCUGCAACUCGCCUACAUGAAGCCGGAAUCGCUAGUAAUCGCGGAUCAGCAUGCCGCGGUGAAUACGUUCCCGGGCCUUGUACACACCGCCCGUCACACCAUGAGAGUUUGUAACACCCAAAGCCGGUGAGGUAACCCUUCGGGGAGCCAGCCGUCUAAGG